UGGCCAAAAUAUCCCAAGCCUGUAUUGUUGUUUGGGUUUUGGAAAUUUUGUCAAACACAGACAUAUCGAUGUCCUGGUGUAUUUGGGAUAAGGCCAUACUAUCACGCCUUAUUUCAUUCUCUUCGGCAAAAGUGUUUCCCCGUCAACUUGGGAACCAUGCACACGAUAUUCUCCAAAAGUUGUAAUUUUGUUUCCCCGUCAACUUGGGAACCAUGCACACGAUAUUCUUUCCUGCCAUAGUUAAUGAAUCACCCUCCUAACGAACCUGUGGCUCUGAUACCAGAUGUAGGAGAACAAUUUAAAGAUAGAAGACCUUUAAAUGUAAGAAGGAAAGAGAUUUUGUUUAGUUGAUAAAUGAAGAAA
Molecule: long non-coding RNA, 363 nt
Filed under: Nicotiana benthamiana
Lineage: Eukaryota; Viridiplantae; Streptophyta; Magnoliopsida; Solanales; Solanaceae
Description: long non-coding RNA (NBEN_LNC008462)
Source: RNAcentral